This is a long non-coding RNA of Anopheles coustani, 1740 nucleotides long. RefSeq lists it as uncharacterized. NCBI's taxonomy places the organism in Eukaryota, Metazoa, Arthropoda, Insecta, Diptera, Culicidae. The transcript has 3 exons. The record is from RefSeq and is a predicted model, not a curated record.
UGCUUUCAUAUCUAUUGUUUUGCUUUUUGGCAGUGAGUUUUUCUAGAACUGUUGAUGUCGGAUCUCUUUGCGACGGAAUGUAGGAAAUAAGCGGUGUAGUUGCAAUUGCGAUCAUUCCAGAGCGACCCAUUAUGCAAAAACUGAGAGCAGCAGCGUACUUUCGAUUUCUUUUGUAAGGAAAAGUCUCAAAAGCUGUAUGGACUGGCAUGGUACAUAAGCUGCAGUUGUAAGCCUCCUAUCGACGAGUUAAAAGAUUCCCUUUACGAGGCGACGGAAAGCGGCUUUUUAACGUGAUCGACUUGCGUGCGUGCGUAAGCGACGAACACCGGUCGGAGUGCAACAAGCACAGUCGAGUGCAUUGCAGCACUGCACCGGUUACGAUGCAGACGCGUAGUUGUCGCUCAAACCGCUGGCCACCGAGUACCGGUAGCUUAUAACAUUCGUCGCAACGGACCGAUGCCAGUUGUUGGGGCAGUUCGGGAAAAAUCAAUGCAAGAUAGCUAACAACAAGUAGACGAGGAAAAUGAAAAAAAUACACAGCAUAAAGUUAAAGCUCCGUCUUGUGUGCUAAAGAACAGCGGUUAUAUCAUCCCGAGUCUGCGUGCUCGCAACCCGCGUAAUCCCUUUUACUCGGCCGGUGGGGGCCUAAACCACGGCCAAGCAAAGUAGUACACGAUCGCGAUCUUUGCUCGGCGAUCCAAUUUCCUCAGCCACAACGGGUGACACCGCGGGGUUUCACCAAGCUUUUCUUGUAUUUCAUUUCACCGUCCAUUUUUUUACAUAUCGCUGUUCCCUUUGCCGCCAGGGUCCAGUCGGCCGGCGAAAAAAAUUGCCCUCCUUCUUAUGCGCCAAGAGCGACUACGAGGUUCCUCCGUGUGCCGUUGUUGCCUGUUAUUGUGGUGUUAUAGCCUCUAUUGGCGUGUGGUGUUUGGUGGUAUCUGUUACAAGUCUGGCGCGAAUCGCGGUACUGCCAUUGCAUUGCCAAGCUCUUCCACAACAGCGAACGAAAAGGGUCAAACUUCGCAGUUCGCGCCAGGCGCAAUGAAAAUGCAAAGUAACAGGCGCAUAAUAACGGCAACGCUGCCGACCGCUGACGGUGGGCAUUCCGAAUCGGCCUGACCGCACAAUCAAAAUACCGGGCCGGUGAGGUGCCUCGAGAAGUGCCGUGUAGAUAGGCGACGGCUACGAGUAGCGGGAGUAGAUCGCCACCUUUUGGGGCCGGGAGCGAAAACAAGUGGGAAACGGUGGUAAACGGGAGCACGAGAAAUGAUUACGCAAUAAUAUCAUUUAUUAAAAGGGAUCAUAAGCUUCCACCUCGACUGAAAGGCCAGCUUCCAUCGGGAUCGAGGUAGAUAGAUGAUAAGUAAUGGACAAACUUAUCUUCUUCGGAUAAGCGAAAUUGGUGCAGUGAAUUAAUCGCAAUGUAUUUGAAAUUAAGGUUGCAACUUUACAUUGAUACAAAUCGCUAGGCACGCUGUAGGCAUGAUAUGAACGUUUUUUGCGAAUAUUCAACAACAAGUUGUUUGUGGAAAUCUAUAAUUACUUCGUUACUAGUCGCUAUAUUCAGCAUACCUCGCCAUCUUUUCAAAAUGAAUCCUUGGGAAGUGUUACAAACAAUGGGGAGAAACUUGUUUGCAGUGUUUUGGAUCUACCUACGGUUUAUAGUGCUAGCGGUGGUCAUAUUUUAUCUAGUCGAAUGGUACAUUCGAGAGUAUGACGAUGGAGGCGCAGACGUUAGUU